Molecule: long non-coding RNA, 909 nt
Filed under: Capsicum annuum
Lineage: Eukaryota; Viridiplantae; Streptophyta; Magnoliopsida; Solanales; Solanaceae
Description: long non-coding RNA (CANN_LNC006871)
Source: RNAcentral
GCUUGAACAACGGAUAACAGAACUUUAUGCAGCACUUGCACCUCGCUCUUAUAGUAUAACAUUCUUCUUAUGGUCAGGGGUAGCGAGACCUGAAAGAAGCGUUAAAGAAUCGAAGGGAAAAAAGAACAAGAAGUGCAGCUAUCUCCGCCUCACAGCAUCAGUUUACCGCACAAUAUUUGCGGUUCACUUCGUCACACUCUCGAUUAACAGAAGGGGGAUAUGGUUCAACCCCGGUCUACAGGCUCUCGAUCUUUAUCUACAGGGUGCUUUUAACUCUCCCUUUCCCCCCUUUCUUUUGAAUGCCAGGGAUGGAAAAGCAAAGAUCAUAUCUUGAUGCGUGUACCGUACUGCUAUCCAAACGAAGAUUAAUUACCUACCGACCAUGUUCGUUCUCUGUGUUGGGCGGCUUUACGCUAUCGAUAGAGGAAGUUGAUAUGCGAGAUGGACAAAGUCGGCUUCAUCUAAUGCUUGCUCUCAUCUUGCGAAGAAUGUUUUUAGUCCUUUUCCCUGUCUGUCUACUGAAAAUGGCUUAGGAAUAGGUCCCUGCCUAGUGGUUUUGGAAUAGAUCAAUCCCUGCUUUGGCUGUCUCCUUCCAUUCUUAUCUUACAUGUGCAUUUCUGAUUCAAUUGCAUAAGCCCUAGUUUCGACUGACGCAGCAAUCCUUCCCUCACAUCGGAUUCACUUGUCCCACCCUCGCUUCCUCCUUGUACUAGAUUUUUCCAAGAAUUCCCCCUGAAAGCGAGAACGCACUAUAUGCCUUUAAAAUAAAAAGAAGGCUGGAAAAAAGAGAGAGCUCCUUUCUUUUCUAGCUUUGGCGGGAGGAAUGAAAAUCCUAUCCUAUACGAAGGCCUAUAUACAAAAAAAGCACUUUGCCUAGAAUCCCAAGUUGCCUCCCCGGCCGAUCGCAUC